Molecule: microRNA, 22 nt
Filed under: Drosophila erecta
Lineage: Eukaryota; Metazoa; Arthropoda; Insecta; Diptera; Drosophilidae
Also listed under: 1 other name
Description: der-miR-976-5p
Gene: der-miR-976-5p
Source: miRBase by way of RNAcentral
UUGGUGAGGGCAUCUCCAAUGG